RNAcentral lists this ribosomal RNA (633 nucleotides) under uncultured bacterium. RNAcentral's name for it is "bacterial SSU rRNA". The stretch from base 1 to 542 matches the Rfam family "Bacterial small subunit ribosomal RNA", at positions 338 to 873 of the family's 1533-position model. The record is from RNAcentral.
CCUACGGGAGGCAGCAGUGGGGAAUUUUGGACAAUGGGCGCAAGCCUGAUCCAGCAAUGCCGCGUGAGUGAAGAAGGCCUUCGGGUUGUAAAGCUCUUUUGUCAGGGAAGAAACGGUGGUUGCUAAUAUCGAUCACUAAUGACGGUACCUGAAGAAUAAGCACCGGCUAACUACGUGCCAGCAGCCGCGGUAAUACGUAGGGUGCAAGCGUUAAUCGGAAUUACUGGGCGUAAAGCGUGCGCAGGCGGUUUUGUAAGUCUGUCGUGAAAUCCCCGGGCUCAACCUGGGAAUGGCGAUGGAGACUGCAAGGCUAGAGUUUGGCAGAGGGGGGUAGAAUUCCACGUGUAGCAGUGAAAUGCGUAGAGAUGUGGAGGAACACCGAUGGCGAAGGCAGCCCCCUGGGUCAAAACUGACGCUCAUGCACGAAAGCGUGGGGAGCAAACAGGAUUAGAUACCCUGGUAGUCCACGCCCUAAACGAUGUCUACUAGUUGUCGGGUCUUAAUUGACUUGGUAACGCAGCUAACGCGUGAAGUAGACCGCCUGGGGAGGUACGGUCGCGAGAAGUAAACGUAACAAAUAGAAGUUAGUACGGACGUGAGACGUAGCCGACGGACGACGACGAGGGAGGAGGG